Long non-coding RNA from Frieseomelitta varia, 511 nucleotides. RefSeq lists it as uncharacterized. The transcript is spliced from 3 exons. The record is from RefSeq and is a predicted model, not a curated record. Lineage: Eukaryota; Metazoa; Arthropoda; Insecta; Hymenoptera; Apidae.
AAGGUAGUGGAAAGGAUUAUAGAAAAGAUAGGUGAAAAGACGGAAGUGGAAAGUAUAAACAGGAUAGCAGGAAGGAGUGAUAUGGUAGUGGUGAAAAUAGGAAGCUUAAAACAGAAGAUGGGCAUAAUGGCCAAUAAGUACAAGCUCAAGAGAGAAAAGGAAAGGUUGGACGAUCUCACAGAGAGGGAGCGGGAAAUGCAAAGAGAACUAAGAAAAAUUGCGGAGAAGAAACGGAAAAAAGGAAGGAGGACGUGGAUAAGAUAUGGGAAGAUCCUGAUAGAUGAUGUAUGGUGGAAAUGGGAUGAGGAGGGAAAUGUGCUAAAGACUUGGGGAAUUAGAAGGGAGGAGGAGAGGAGUGAAGAGAAGUAGCUGGAGGUAGAGAAGGCAGGAAAGAAGGAAGCGAAAGGAGUAGGAGGAAAUGAAAAGAGAAUGGAGGAAAAAGGAAAAAAGGGUGAGAGUAAUUGGAAAGUGGUGUUCUGGAAUGUGGCAGGAUUAGAUAAAAUAUAUGAUA